CGCGGCCUAUCAGCUUGUUGGUAAGGUAAUGGCUUACCAAGGCAAUGACGGGUAGCUGGUCUGAGAGGAUGAUCAGCCACAGUGGAACUGAGACACGGUCCACACUCCUACGGGAGGCAGCAGUGAGGAAUUUUGCACAAUGGACGAAAGUCUGAUGCAGCAACGCCGCGUGAAGGAUGAAGAUCUUAGGAUUGUAAACUUCUUUUAUAAGGGAUGAGGUAUGACAGUACCUUAUGAAUAAGCACCGGCUAAAUACGUGCCAGCAGCCGCGGUAAUACGUAUGGUGCAAGCGUUAUCCGGAUUUAUUGGGCGUAAAGAGUUCGUAGGUGGUAUGUUAAGUUGGAGAUGAAAGAUCUGGGCUCAACCCAGGGAACGUUUCCAAAACUAACAAACUAGAGGAAGGAAGAGGCAAGCGGAACUUGUGGUGUAGGGGUAAAAUCCGUAGAUAUCACAGGGAACGCCAAAAGCGAAAGCAGCUUGCUGGUUCUCUCCUGACACUGAGGAACGAAAGCGUGGGUAGCGAACGGGAUUAGAUACCCCGGUAGUCCACGCCGUAAACGAUGGGUACUAGAUAUUAGUUGUAUCGACCCAACUAGUGUCGUAGCUAACGCGUUAAGUACCCCGCCUGGGGAGUACGG
This 638-nucleotide ribosomal RNA is filed under the name uncultured actinomycete. RNAcentral's name for it is "bacterial SSU rRNA". It matches the Rfam family "Bacterial small subunit ribosomal RNA", at positions 232 to 885 of the family's 1533-position model. The record is from RNAcentral. Lineage: Bacteria; Bacillati; Actinomycetota; Actinomycetes; Actinomycetales.